AUUUUAUUAUUUUAUUAUUUUAAAAUUUUAAAAUUUUAAAUUUUAAAUAUAGAUACUAAAUUUAAAAUUUUAAUUUUUACAAUAUCAAAUUUAAAGUUUCAAAUUUUAAAGUUUUAAAUUUAAAAUUUAAAAUAAAUUUAAAAAUUAAAAAUUAAAAAUUAAAAAUGUUAGAAUUUAAAAUUAAAAAUUAAAAAUUAUAAGUUUAAUUUUUAAAAUUAUAUGUUUCAAAUUUUAAACUUUAAUUUUAAAAUUUUAAAUUCUAAAUAAAAAGGAAUAUAUUAAUAAUUAUAUAUUAAUUAGUAAUAAUAUUUAGGAACAAGUGCUGCUAAUUUACUAUAUUUAGCAGCAUUUACUAAUUUAUGCUGCUAAUUUAUCUUAUUUUGUAAUAUUAAUAGUAAAUUGUUGCUAAAUAAUUAAAUCUAGCAACAAUAUUUAUCAAGUAAUGCUGCUAAAUAUAUUAAUUAGCAUGAUUUAAAUAAAUAUUGCGGAGCAAAUAUUAUGGCAUUUAGCGUGCUGCUAUUUUAUUACAUUUAGUGUUAUUUUUUUUAUAAAAUACUGAAAAUUUCAGUAGCAUUCACUAAAUUAUGCUGCAAAUUUAUUCUAUUUUGCAAAAUUAAUUGUAAAUUGCUGCUAAAUUAUUAAAUCUAACGGCACUUAUCAAGUAAUGUUAUUAAAUAUAUUAAUUAGCAUUAUUUAAAUAAAUAUUGUGGAAUAAAUGCCACUAAAUUAUGAAUUUGUUGUAGUGCUCGCGAUACUACGAAUGGAUAUUUUGCUUAGACGUCGUAAAGAAUAUAAAAAAUUUCUUAUAGGAUUACUUGGUACAACAAUCAAUAGCAUAAUUAUCUGUACUUGUAUAUACAAAUUAAUUUUUUUUUAUAAGUAUCGCGUAAAGGCGGACUUACAAAUUCAUAACCUAAUGGUCGUACAACCGAUGAAGUUAAAAGAUUCUUGAGUAAAAAAGAUACAAAUUAUAUAUUUUUUAAAUAUACAUACGGUAGAUAAUUUGAAAUAAACAAAUCAGUAAUUAGAGGAACGAUUGCGGCAAAAUGGAAUCAGAUGAAAAAUAAGUGAAAUCAGUGGAAUCAGAGAAACUACUGCAGCCAAGUGGAAUAUGGUCUUCUUACAGGAACAUAUGAUCAUGUACAGUAAAAAACGAUGGAUGUCUUAAUAUAUAGGCAUUUACAUAAAGCGAAAAAGAUACAGGAACAACAUAUGAUCAUGUACAGUAAAAGACGAUGAAUGUCUUAAUAUAUAGGCAUUUACAGAAAGGGAAAAGGGCAUAGAAUAAUUUUUCAUA
RNAcentral lists this long non-coding RNA (1297 nucleotides) under Ananas comosus (pineapple). Its description in RNAcentral is "long non-coding RNA (ACOM_LNC038171)". Lineage: Eukaryota; Viridiplantae; Streptophyta; Magnoliopsida; Poales; Bromeliaceae. The record is from RNAcentral.